Molecule: ribosomal RNA, 447 nt
Filed under: uncultured bacterium
Lineage: Bacteria
Description: bacterial SSU rRNA
Rfam family: Bacterial small subunit ribosomal RNA
Source: RNAcentral
GAGGCAGCAGUGGGGAAUUUUGGACAAUGGGCGCAAGCCUGAUCCAGCCAUUCCGCGUGAGUGAAGAAGGCCUUCGGGUUGUAAAGCUCUUUCGCAAGGGAAGAAAACUUAACCUCUAACAUAGGUUGAGGCUGACGGUACCUUGAUAAGAAGCACCGGCUAACUACGUGCCAGCAGCCGCGGUAAUACGUAGGGUGCGAGCGUUAAUCGGAAUUACUGGGCGUAAAGCGUGCGCAGGCGGCCUGAUAAGUCAGAUGUGAAAUCCCCGAGCUCAACUUGGGAACUGCGUUUGAAACUAUCAAGCUAGAAUAUGUCAGAGGGGGGUAGAAUUCCACGUGUAGCAGUGAAAUGCGUAGAGAUGUGGAGGAAUACCAAUGGCGAAGGCAGCCCCCUGGGAUAAUAUUGACGCUCAUGCACGAAAGCUGGGGAGCAAACAGGAUUAGAUAC